CGGGGAAACUCAGAAGGCCCUGUUUCUGUGCUCUACCAUGUUUACUGGAUUUCCGGUUUCAGAAAAAAGAGGAGUGUUAAGAGAAGGGAGACUUCUGCCA
Molecule: long non-coding RNA, 100 nt
Organism: Lagopus leucura (white-tailed ptarmigan)
Lineage: Eukaryota; Metazoa; Chordata; Aves; Galliformes; Phasianidae
Exons: 3
Source: RefSeq, a predicted model, not a curated record